Molecule: transfer RNA, 81 nt
Filed under: Caudoviricetes sp.
Lineage: Duplodnaviria; Heunggongvirae; Uroviricota; Caudoviricetes
Description: tRNA-Met
Source: RNAcentral
UGCGGAUGAGUGAAACGGAUAUACAAAUCAUUCUAGCCUCAUAAGCUAUGAGAUACCAGGUUCGACUCCUGCGAUCCGCAA